RNAcentral lists this ribosomal RNA (406 nucleotides) under uncultured bacterium. Its description in RNAcentral is "bacterial SSU rRNA". It matches the Rfam family "Bacterial small subunit ribosomal RNA", at positions 137 to 558 of the family's 1533-position model. The record is from RNAcentral.
AGGGGAAUAACAUUCUGAAAAGAAUGCUAAUACCGCAUAACAUAUAUUUAUCGCAUGGUAGAUAUAUCAAAGAUUUAUCGCUUAGAGAUGGACUCGCGUCCGAUUAGUUAGUUGGUGAGGUAACGGCUCACCAAGACUGCGAUCGGUAGCCGGACUGAGAGGUUGAACGGCCACAUUGGGACUGAGACACGGCCCAGACUCCUACGGGAGGCAGCAGUGGGGGAUAUUGCGCAAUGGGGGAAACCCUGACGCAGCACCGCCGCGUGAAGGAUGAAGGUCUUCGGAUUGUAAACUUCUUUUAUUAAGGACGAAGAAAGUGACGGUACUUAAUGAAUAAGCUCCGGCUAACUACGUGCCAGCAGCCGCGGUAAUACGUAGGGAGCAAGCGUUGUCCGGAUUUACUGGG